AAGGACGUGAUAAGCUGCGAUAAGCUUCGGGUAGGUGCAAAUAACCUUUGAUCCGAAGAUUUCCGAAUGGGACAACCUAGCCGUCUGAAGGACGGUUACUCUUACCAAUGUAAGAGAGCUAACGCAGGGAACUGAAACAUCUUAGUACCUGCAGGAAGAGAAAAUAAAUGAAUGAUUCCCCCAGUAGUGGCGAGCGAACGGGGAACAGCCCAAACCAGUGGCGUCGCAAGGCGUGGCUGGGGUUGUAGGACCGCGACAUUGUAUGCAAAUCGUGAACAGAACACUUUGGAAAAUGUGACCAUAGACGGUGAUAGUCCAGUAUGUGAAGCGAAAUGCAGCAUAGCGGUAUCCUGAGUAACGCGGGACACGAGGAAUCCUGCGCGAAUCUGCCGGGACCAUCCGGUAAGGCUAAAUACUCCCGUGAGACCGAUAGCGAACGAGUACUGUGAAGGAAAGGUGAAAAGAACCCCGAGCAGGGGAGUGAAAUAGUUCCUGAAACCAUACGCCUACAAGCGGUCGGAGCAUCUUACGAUGUGACGGCGUGCCUUUUGCAUAAUGAUCCUACGAGUUACCGUCACUGGCGAGGUUGAGUGUCACGAGACACGUAGCCGCAGUGAAAGCGAGCCUGAAGAGGGCGCACAGUCAGUGGGGGUAGACGCGAAACCAAGUGAUCUACACUUGGCCAGGAUGAAGUCCCGGUAACACGGGAUGGAGGUCCGCACCAAUAAGCGUUGAAAAGCUUCUGGAUGAGCCGAGUGUAGGAGUGAAAGGCCAAUCAAACUUGGAGAUAGCUCGUACUCCCCGAAAGGCAUUUAGGUGCCGCGUCGGAUGGUCACCGUGAGAGGUAGAGCGACCGAUAGGACAAGAGGGCUUCACCGCCUAUCGAGUCCUGACGAACUCCGAAUGCUCACGGUCUGCAGUCCGGCAGUAAGGGGGCGGGUGCUAAGGUCCGUCCCCGAGAGGAGAAGAAUCCAGACCGCCGUCUAAGGUCCCGGAGUUCUGCCUGAGUUAGUCUAACGAAGUCUGGUCCCUAUGACAGCUAGGAUGUUGGCUUGGAAGCAGCCAUUCAUUCAAAGAGUGCGUAACAGCUCACUAGUCGAGGGUCCGGGCAUGGAUAAUAAUCGGGUAUAAGGCAGACACCGAAGGCGCGGGAUAGCAUUUAAGAAAGUAUCGGUAGGGGAGCAUACUCACAGCGUUGAAUGGUGUACGUAAGUUAUCCUGGAGCGGUGAGUAAAGCAAAUGUAGGAAUAAGUAACGAUAAGGAGGGUUAGAUUCCCUCCCGCUGUAAGACCAAGGUUUCCCGGGCAAUGCCAAUCAGCCCGGGGUCAGUCGGGUCCUAAGUCUAAGCCGAACGGCGAUGGCGAUGGCAGAGACGGUUAAUAUUCCGUCACUGCCGCAUGGGGCGACGUGGAGACGGAGCAGUGAAACCACCGCGGGGCGACGGAAGUCCCCGUUGAAGAGUGUAGGUGUUGAGGAUGGCAGGCAAAUCCACCGUCCGAGCUGAACUUGACAGUAUGGAGUCUUCUUCGGAAGAAUCCAAUAGUGUGGGUAAUCAUACUCCCGAGAAAAUCCGCUAAGCUUAACCCAUGCGGCACCCGUACCGCAAACGGACACACGUGGUCGGGUAGAACAUACUGAGGCGUUGAGAGAUUCAUGGUUAAGGAACUAGGCAAAUUGACCCUGUAACUUCGGGAUAAAGGGUCCUCGUGAAUAGCGAGGCGCAGAGAAUAGGUCCAGGCAACUGUUUAACAAAAACACAGGGCUGUGCAAACUCGAAAGAUGACGUAUACAGCCUGACACCUGCCCGGUGCCGGAAGGUUAAGAGGAGAUGUCACUCGCAAGAGGAAGCAUUGAAUUGAAGCCCCGGUAAACGGCGGCCGUAACUAUAACGGUCCUAAGGUAGCGAAAUUCCUUGUCGGGUAAGUUCCG
Molecule: ribosomal RNA, 1929 nt
Filed under: human gut metagenome
Description: bacterial LSU rRNA
Rfam family: Bacterial large subunit ribosomal RNA
Source: RNAcentral